AAUCAACGCUGGCGGCGUGCCUAACACAUGCAAGUCGAACGCGAAAACCCCGCAAGGGGUUAGUAGAGUGGCAAACGGGUGAGUAACACGUGGGUGACCUGCCUUCGAGCGGGGGAUAACGUCCCGAAAGGGACGCUAAUACCGCAUAACAUCCUGCCUUUUAAGAGGUGGAGAUCAAAGCCGGGGAUCGCAAGACCUGGCACUUGAAGAGGGGCCCUCGCCUGAUUAGCUAGUUGGUGGGGUAANGGCUCACCAAGGCAACGAUCAGUAUCCGGCCUGAGAGGGCGGACGGACACACUGGGACUGAGACACGGCCCAGACUCCUACGGGAGGCAGCAGUGGGGAAUAUUGGACAAUGGGCGCAAGCCUGAUCCAGCCAUGCCGCGUGAGUGAUGAAGGCCUUAGGGUUGUAAAGCUCUUUCGUCCGGGACGAUAAUGACGGUACCGGAAGAAGAAGCCCGGCUAACUUCGUGCCAGCAGCCGCGGUAAU
RNAcentral lists this ribosomal RNA (490 nucleotides) under uncultured bacterium. RNAcentral's name for it is "bacterial SSU rRNA". It matches the Rfam family "Bacterial small subunit ribosomal RNA", at positions 32 to 524 of the family's 1533-position model. The record is from RNAcentral.